RNAcentral lists this ribosomal RNA (755 nucleotides) under Entamoeba dispar. RNAcentral describes it as "SSU rRNA". It matches the Rfam family "Eukaryotic small subunit ribosomal RNA", at positions 260 to 1037 of the family's 1831-position model. The record is from RNAcentral. Lineage: Eukaryota; Evosea; Mastigamoebida; Endamoebidae.
GACAAUUGUAGAACACACAGUGUUUAACAAGUAACCAAUGAGAAUUUCUGAUCUAUCAAUCAGUUGGUAGUAUCGAGGACUACCAAGAUUAUAACGGAUAACGAGGAAUUGGGGUUCGACAUCGGAGAGGGAGCUUUACAGAUGGCUACCACUUCUAAGGAAGGCAGCAGGCGCGUAAAUUACCCACUUUCGAAUUGAAGAGGUAGUGACGACACAUAACUCUAGAGUUGAGUAAAAUCAAUUCUUGAAGGAAUGAGUAGGAGGUAAAUUCUCCUACGAAAUCAAUUGGAGGGCAAGUCUGGUGCCAGCAGCCGCGGUAAUUCCAGCUCCAAUAGUGUAUAUUAAAGUUGCUGUGAUUAAAACGCUCGUAGUUGAAUUAAAAUGUGAUUUUAUACAUUUUGAAGACUUUACAUUAAGUGAAGUUUCUAGAAAUGUUAAAUUAAAAUCAAAGAAGGAGACAAUUCAAGUAAUUGAGUUGUCAUUACUUUGAAUAAAAUAAGGUGUUUAAAGCAAAACAUUAUGUUAAUGAAUAUUCAAGCAUGGGACAAUGCUGAGGAGAUGUCAAUUAGACAUUUCGAGAGAAGGAUUAAAAGGAACAAUUGGGGUGAUUCAGAAAAUAACGGGAGAGGUGAAAAUCCAUGAUCGCUAUAAGAUGCACGAGAGCGAAAGCAUUUCACUCAACUGGGUCCAUUAAUCAAGAACGAAAGUUAGGGGAUCGAAGACGAUCAGAUACCGUCGUAGUCCUAACUAUAAAC